AAUUAGGGAGCAGUACUAAAAAUUUAUAAAUUAGAUAGCCAACGUACAACUCUAAAAAAUAAAAUCGCAUCGAAUAACUUAUUUUAUUAGCUUUCUUAGAUUGUUCUUGUCUUGAUGCUUCUUGAUCUUUCACGUAUCUCAUCUCUUUCCAUGCAUUACGGAUCUGAUCGGAUGCGAAGAGAUGAGAUGCAAAGAGGAGUUAUAUACCAGAGUCCUCUUCACAUAAUGUUUCUCUUUUUUUUUAU
This 245-nucleotide long non-coding RNA is filed under the name Ananas comosus (pineapple). RNAcentral's name for it is "long non-coding RNA (ACOM_LNC032225)". The record is from RNAcentral. Lineage: Eukaryota; Viridiplantae; Streptophyta; Magnoliopsida; Poales; Bromeliaceae.